Molecule: ribosomal RNA, 511 nt
Filed under: Synalpheus williamsi
Lineage: Eukaryota; Metazoa; Arthropoda; Malacostraca; Decapoda; Alpheidae
Description: partial 16S ribosomal RNA
Rfam family: Bacterial large subunit ribosomal RNA
Source: RNAcentral
AUGUCCUGUGUGAAUAAAAAUAUUUAGUUUGACCUGCCCACUGAAGUUUUGAAGGGCUGCGGUAAUUUGACCGUGCAAAGGUAGCAUAAUCAAUAGUCUUUUAAUUGGAGGCUUGAAUGAAAGGUUUGACGGAGGAAAAGCUGUCUAGGUAAUUGAAGUUGAAUUUAACAUUUGUGUGAAAAGGCAUUAAUGAUUUAGGGGGACGAUAAGACCCUAUAAAACUUUACAUAUUUAUAUUUUUUAAUUGAAUUGGUAAAUAAUUAUUAAAUGGUUAGUUGUGUUUUGCUGGGGCGGCAGAAAUAUAAUUUUAACUGUUUUAGUUAUUAAAUAUUUAUAAAUAGAAAAUGUUCCUUAAUUUAAGAGCUAAGAGUAAGUUACUUUAGGGAUAACAGCAUAAUUUCUUCUGAGAGUUCUUAUCGAAGAUGGUAGUUGUGACCUCGAUGUUGAAUUAAAUUUUCUUUUAGGUGUAGAAGUUUAAAGGGAAGGCCCUGUUCGGCCCUAUAAAUAUUAU